Molecule: ribosomal RNA, 253 nt
Filed under: uncultured bacterium
Lineage: Bacteria
Description: partial 16S ribosomal RNA
Rfam family: Bacterial small subunit ribosomal RNA
Source: RNAcentral
UACGUAGGGGGCAAGCGUUGUCCGGAAUCAUUGGGCGUAAAGAGCGCGUAGGCGGAUUGCUAAGUCAGGGGUGAAAUCCUGGAGCUCAACUCCAGAACUGCCUUUGAUACUGGCGAUCUUGAGUCCGGGAGAGGUGAGUGGAACUGCGAGUGUAGAGGUGAAAUUCGUAGAUAUUCGCAAGAACACCAGUGGCGAAGGCGGCUCACUGGCCCGGUACUGACGCUGAGGUGCGAAAGCGUGGGGAGCAAACAGG